Molecule: ribosomal RNA, 1402 nt
Filed under: uncultured bacterium
Lineage: Bacteria
Description: bacterial SSU rRNA
Rfam family: Bacterial small subunit ribosomal RNA
Source: RNAcentral
UUUGAUCCUGGCUCAGGACGAACGCUGGCGGCGUGCCUAAUACAUGCAAGUAGAACGCUGAAGAGAGGAGCUUGCUCUUCUUGGAUGAGUUGCGAACGGGUGAGUAACGCGUAGGUAACCUGCCUUGUAGCGGGGGAUAACUAUUGGAAACGAUAGCUAAUACCGCAUAACAAUGGAUGACACAUGUCAUUUAUUUGAAAGGGGCAAUUGCUCCACUACAAGAUGGACCUGCGUUGUAUUAGCUAGUAGGUGAGGUAACGGCUCACCUAGGCGACGAUACAUAGCCGACCUGAGAGGGUGAUCGGCCACACUGGGACUGAGACACGGCCCAGACUCCUACGGGAGGCAGCAGUAGGGAAUCUUCGGCAAUGGGGGCAACCCUGACCGAGCAACGCCGCGUGAGUGAAGAAGGUUUUCGGAUCGUAAAGCUCUGUUGUAAGUCAAGAACGAGUGUGAGAGUGGAAAGUUCACACUGUGACGGUAGCUUACCAGAAAGGGACGGCUAACUACGUGCCAGCAGCCGCGGUAAUACGUAGGUCCCGAGCGUUGUCCGGAUUUAUUGGGCGUAAAGCGAGCGCAGGCGGUUUGAUAAGUCUGAAGUUAAAGGCUGUGGCUCAACCAUAGUUCGCUUUGGAAACUGUCAAACUUGAGUGCAGAAGGGGAGAGUGGAAUUCCAUGUGUAGCGGUGAAAUGCGUAGAUAUAUGGAGGAACACCGGUGGCGAAAGCGGCUCUCUGGUCUGUAACUGACGCUGAGGCUCGAAAGCGUGGGGAGCGAACAGGAUUAGAUACCCUGGUAGUCCACGCCGUAAACGAUGAGUGCUAGGUGUUGGAUCCUUUCCGGGAUUCAGUGCCGCAGCUAACGCAUUAAGCACUCCGCCUGGGGAGUACGACCGCAAGGUUGAAACUCAAAGGAAUUGACGGGGGCCCGCACAAGCGGUGGAGCAUGUGGUUUAAUUCGAAGCAACGCGAAGAACCUUACCAGGUCUUGACAUCCCGAUGCUAUUUCUAGAGAUAGAAAGUUACUUCGGUACAUCGGUGACAGGUGGUGCAUGGUUGUCGUCAGCUCGUGUCGUGAGAUGUUGGGUUAAGUCCCGCAACGAGCGCAACCCCUAUUGUUAGUUGCCAUCAUUCAGUUGGGCACUCUAGCGAGACUGCCGGUAAUAAACCGGAGGAAGGUGGGGAUGACGUCAAAUCAUCAUGCCCCUUAUGACCUGGGCUACACACGUGCUACAAUGGUUGGUACAACGAGUUGCGAGUCGGUGACGGCAAGCUAAUCUCUUAAAGCCAAUCUCAGUUCGGAUUGUAGGCUGCAACUCGCCUACAUGAAGUCGGAAUCGCUAGUAAUCGCGGAUCAGCACGCCGCGGUGAAUACGUUCCCGGGCCUUGCACACACCGCCCGUC